This is a non-coding RNA of Triticum aestivum (bread wheat), 136 nucleotides long. Lineage: Eukaryota; Viridiplantae; Streptophyta; Magnoliopsida; Poales; Poaceae. The record is from Rfam.
AUUCUACUCCCUCCGUUACACAAUACAUGCCUUCUAUUUGUCAAAAUAUAUAUGUAUCUAGACAUGUUUUAGUAUAUAGGCAGAUCCAUUUUUGGACAAAUGGAAGUCAAGUAUUUUGGAACGGAGGGAGUACACA